AUAUGUAGCCUGCUCGCAGCCUGAAAUUUAGAAGGGGAAAUUUUCCCCCUUCUAAAUUUCAGGCUGCGUGCAGGCUAACUCA
This 82-nucleotide microRNA precursor is filed under the name Paramuricea clavata. Lineage: Eukaryota; Metazoa; Cnidaria; Anthozoa; Malacalcyonacea; Plexauridae. The record is from RNAcentral.